GAUGAAGAACGUAGCGAAAUGCGAUAAGUAGUGUGAAUUGCAGAAUUCAGUGAAUCAUCGAAUAUUUGAACGCACAUUGCGCCCCUUGGUAUUCCAUGGGGCAUGCCUGUUCGAGCGUCAUUUGUACCUUCAAGCUCUGCUUGGUGUUGGGUGUUUGUCUCGCCUCUGCGUGUAGACUCGCCUCAAAACAAUUGGCAGCCGGCGUAUUGAUUUCGGAGCGCAGUACAUCUCGCGCUUUGCACUCAUAACGACGACGUCCAAAAGUACAUUUUUACACUCUUGACCUCGGAUCAGGUAGGGAUACCCGCUGAACUUAAGCAUAUCAAUAAGCGGA
RNAcentral lists this unclassified non-coding RNA (334 nucleotides) under soil metagenome. RNAcentral describes it as "partial contains 5.8S ribosomal RNA, internal transcribed spacer 2, and large subunit ribosomal RNA". The stretch from base 1 to 120 matches the Rfam family "5.8S ribosomal RNA", at positions 35 to 154 of the family's 154-position model. The record is from RNAcentral.